AGCCAAGCACUGUCAGGAAUCCUGUGAAGCAGCUCCAGCUAUGUGUGAAGAAGAGGACAGCACUGCCUUGGUGUGUGACAAUGGUUCUGGGCUCUGUAAGGCCGGCUUUGCUGGGGAUGAUGCUCCCAGGGCUGUUUUCCCAUCCAUCGUGGGACGUCCCAGACAUCAGGGGGUGAUGGUGGGAAUGGGACAAAAAGACAGCUAUGUGGGUGACGAAGCACAGAGCAAAAGAGGAAUCCUGACCCUGAAGUACCCAAUAGAACACGGCAUCAUCACCAACUGGGACGACAUGGAAAAGAUCUGGCACCACUCUUUCUACAAUGAGCUUCGUGUUGCCCCUGAAGAGCAUCCCACCCUGCUCACGGAGGCGCCCCUGAACCCCAAGGCCAACCGGGAGAAAAUGACUCAGAUUAUGUUUGAGACUUUCAAUGUCCCGGCCAUGUAUGUGGCUAUCCAGGCGGUGCUGUCCCUCUACGCCUCUGGACGCACAACUGGCAUCGUGCUGGACUCUGGAGAUGGUGUCACUCACAAUGUCCCCAUCUAUGAGGGCUAUGCCUUGCCCCAUGCCAUCAUGCGUCUGGAUCUGGCUGGCCGAGAUCUCACUGACUACCUCAUGAAGAUCCUUACUGAGCGUGGCUAUUCCUUUGUUACUACUGGUGAGGCUUGUGGGAGAUAAGGGGGAGAGGGGAGCAGUGUGUUGCUCAGUAACUUCCAGGACCAUCCUCACUAUCCAAGGAGAUGAUGGGAUGAAGAUUUGCAAAUGGCAAGGCCUGGCUCUAAUGCACAGAGCAAAGCACAUCUUUCUUUGCUAUGUGAAGUUGCAAAAUGAUUACACUAUUUCCUUGAGGAGAACAGUUAUAGACACCCAGUGUUACGCAUUAGUC
This 884-nucleotide small RNA is filed under the name Pongo abelii (Sumatran orangutan). Its description in RNAcentral is "processed transcript". Lineage: Eukaryota; Metazoa; Chordata; Mammalia; Primates; Hominidae. The record is from RNAcentral.